AUUUGAUGUUGAGGGUAUCUAGUGCACAACUUAUUGAAUCUUUUCCAAUAAUCACAUAAAGACUCCCCGGGGUACUGCUUGAUACUGCAUAUCUCUUUUCUCAAACU
Molecule: small nucleolar RNA, 107 nt
Organism: Coffea eugenioides
Lineage: Eukaryota; Viridiplantae; Streptophyta; Magnoliopsida; Gentianales; Rubiaceae
Source: RefSeq, a predicted model, not a curated record